GAGGAGCGGAGCGGCCGGGAUGACGCGGAAGCCGCCGGGGACUGACUCACCCGGGCCCCGAGCGGCGGCCCCCGGAUGGGGGACAGUGGAGGCGCCUGGACCGGACCCCCGCCAUCCCGGACACUUCUUCUGCCUGGACAUCCCAAGUUUCCACGUGGCACUGUGGAUGGAUAUGCAGCCAAAGGAGGAGCUGCAGCAUGAGAGACCGAGGUUAGAGCAGAGGUGGGACUUCCCUCAAAGAGCCCCCCCCCCAAUCUAUGAACUAACUUUAUACAAGAGAGGUUGGGAAGGAGGGGGGAUGAACCAGAUAGGCAACACGACUGAGGCGUCUUAGGGGCAGAGUAACGGGCAAAAUAGCAAAAUAACCGGGCCAAUCAUCAGGCCACAGUUGUCCCCCUCUCCACUUGCCAGGGCUCCUUGCCGUUUCCCACCUCCCCAGUCCUAAGAACUCACACUUCUCAGGUUCGCGGUGCUAAGGGCCAUCCCUCACAAAUUAAACUCUGGGCCUUGCUGGAUGGGGAGCCCUUUGAAGGCAGAGCCAGGCCCUUCUCGGUCAUCGCCAUGUCCCCAGCACUGACCAGCACAAGACUGGCCUCUGGAGAAACUAACUGCAUGAAUAAAAAGUGGUAAUAAAAUAAAAUGGUGUUUCCCAAGCUACUAACAGCAAAAUGUUUACUGUACACUGCAUGCCAGAUGUAAUUUGAGGAGGAAUCUAAGGGUCUUGCUAUAACCUUAGGAUGGAGGUACUUUUAUUAUUUUCAUCGGUACCAUAUUCAUGUUUUUUGUUUUGGUUUGGAGAGUUUUUUGUUUUUGGUUUUUGGUUUGUUUGUCUUUUUAGGGCCGAACUUGUGACAUAUGUAGGUUCCCAGGCCAGGGGUCAAAUCAGAGCUGGAGCUGCAGCUGCAGCUGCUGACCUAUGCCACAGCCACACCAAUGCCAGAUGCAAGCCACAACUGCGACCUACGCCACAGUUUGCAGCAAUGCGGGAUCCUUAGCCCAAUGAGCAAGGCCAGCUAUCAAACCUGCAUCUUCAUGGAUACCAGACGGGUUCUUAACCCACUGAGCCACAGUGGGAACUCCAAUCUCCAUGUGAGAGAUGAAGAAACGAGAAUAUCUGAGAAUAGCUGAGCUCACCCUGCUUGCAGUCAAAGCUGUCUCUCUAGCUCUUUUUUUUUUUUUUUUUUCCCUGCUGGAUUGAACCCAUGCCACUGCACUAACUAGAGCUACAGCUGUGACAAUGCCAGCUCCUUAACCUGCUGAGCCACCAGAACUGUCUUUUGAACCAGGUCGCCUGGCACAAGAGGUGUUCUGUUCCUAGGAUACUGUCUCUAGGCCCUAUAGAACCCAAAGGGAAGGAGCGAUUCUCAAACUACAGUCCACAGAACCCUGCCAGAGGGACACGGAACACAGAUGGCAGAGGAAGGGGCCAUGUGAAGAUGGAGGCAGAGACCGGAGUGAUGGGGCCACGAGCCCAGGACCACCUGGAGCCCCUAGAAGCUGGAGGAGGCAAGGAAGGAUCUUCCUCUAGAAGCUUCAUGGGAUGCGGCCCUGGCCCCACCUUGAUUUAAUAUUUCUGGCCUCCAGAAGAGAGGGAAUAUAUUUCUGGUGUGUUGAGCCACCAAGUUUGUGGGAACUUGUUAGGCAGCCACAGGAAAUGAAUACAGUGUUUGGGGGCCCGUCACCUUCCACCCUGAAGACAGAGUUCUUGUGUCUUUCAGAUGCUGUCUCCUCACACGAGGAAAGUGAGGCUCAGAAAGAAAGCAGAGCCAAAACCAGAACUCAGGUCCCCAGAACCUCCUCCUCCAAGAUCCCGGGGUCACUGUGGGAACUUGCAGGGUAUUUUCCUGUUGAGAAAAUACAGGAUACUUAGUGAGUUUUCUUUUAAGGCUGGGCUUGAGAACACAAGCUUUUGGUGGAGUCCUGGUUAGUUUGCUUACUUGCUGUGUGGCUUUGGUCAAGAGGCUAACCUCUCUGUGCCUCAGUUUCUCCUAUAAAAUAGGGAUAACAAGACAAGACAUCUCAGAAGGCUGUGAUGGGGAGUAUAUAAGAAUCAACUUUGCCUUUUGACAUAGUCCCGACAGUCUUUGCAAAGCCGUAAGACCAGCAAAAUAAAUGAGAUGCAAAGAUGGGAAGGUAAGAGAUGAAACUGCAACUUGGAGUUCCUGUCAUGGCGCAGCAGAAAUGAAUCUGACUAGGAACCAUGAGGUUGCAGGUUCGAUCCCUGGCCUCUCUCAGUGGGUCGAGGAUCUGGCAUUGCCGUGAGCUGUGGUGUAGGUUGCAGACAGGGCUCAGAUCCUGCGUGGCUGUGGUGUAGGCUGUCAGCGAGGCCAGGGAUCAAGCCUGCAUCCUCAUGGACACUCCUUCCCUGCCCUUUUCACUCUCAUUUUGUCCUGAGUGUACAGAGCAGCCUGCACAGAAUCACAGCAGACUGUGCACAGAAGCAGAUGUGAAGAUCCAGCUUUCUUCUGCUGAGUCAGACAUUAAAGGGAUCUACAAAAAUGUGAAACCAGGAGUCCCCAUCAUGGCUCAGUGGUUAACAAAUCUGACUAGGAACCAUGAGGUUGCAGGUUUGAUCCCUGGCCUCGCUCAGAGGGUUAAGGAUCCGGCAUUGCCGUGAGCUGUGGUGUAGGUCGCAGAUGCGCUCGGAUCCCGUGUUGCUGUGGCUCUGGUGUACGCCAGUGGCUACAGCUCUGAUUCGACCCCUAGCCUGGGAACCUCCAUAUGCUGCGGGAGCAGCCCUCAAAAGGCAAAAAGACAAAAAAAAAAAAAAAAAAA
This 2775-nucleotide long non-coding RNA is filed under the name Sus scrofa (pig). RNAcentral describes it as "lncRNA (ENSSSCG00045036047.1)". The record is from RNAcentral. Lineage: Eukaryota; Metazoa; Chordata; Mammalia; Artiodactyla; Suidae.